GAAAACUUAAGAUGAUACAUAACAUUUCAUUAGGACCUUUAUCUCUCUUUGGACCUCUAAAACUCGAAACUUAAUAUAUUAAAACUUGUUACAUGACUGCACGACACAGGUUACUUGAUGCAAAUUUAGACUACAGAACUUUUUUGUGUGCCAUGACAACCAAAAUAUUAAUAGCGUGGUGGCCUACCAAUAGAUGCAAUGCAUUGGAAAAAAAACAGCAACAACAACAAACCACACAAAAAACAGAAGCAUCAAAAGGCUGUUAAAUUCCUUUAAAAUGUCAUAAGAUUGCUUAAGGUUUAAAGACACUUUUAACUCUUAAUAUCCAACAUAUUAAUUCCUUGGAAAAAAAUGCAUCUAUUCUCAUUCGGUAGCUCU
Stylophora pistillata is the source of this 378-nucleotide long non-coding RNA. NCBI's taxonomy places the organism in Eukaryota, Metazoa, Cnidaria, Anthozoa, Scleractinia, Pocilloporidae. The record is from RefSeq and is a predicted model, not a curated record.